This is a long non-coding RNA of Mesocricetus auratus (golden hamster), 1263 nucleotides long. RefSeq lists it as uncharacterized. The record is from RefSeq and is a predicted model, not a curated record. Lineage: Eukaryota; Metazoa; Chordata; Mammalia; Rodentia; Cricetidae. The transcript has 2 exons.
GUCGUGAAAUGGCGCCCGGGGGCCCAAGCUCGGGCCCCGGGCCCCUCGAGUUCCUAGUGUUUUGUUUUUGUGUUUUGGUUUUGGUUUUUUUUUCUGCUUUUGUUUUAAUAAAGCUCACGGAUUUGAGUGGAAACAGAUUUCUCACAAACUUGCUUCUCCGGCUGGAUUUCACAGCUCGGCACACACACACACACACACACACACACACACUCACACACACACUCACACACACACACUGGGGCUGUCACAGGCUUGACAGCAUUCCAGGGAAAACACUAACGGGGAAACUCUGCGAGGGGAAUUAAAGGAGCAGGCAGCGGUGUCCUCCCCGGCAGAGCACGUGCAUGUGCAUGGAUGGCCUCCAGCGUGCGCCCACCUCUGCAGGCCGCCGCGGGAAGGAAGGAAGGGAGGGAAAACAGAUCCGUCCCCUUCGGCUGACGGCAUGAAGGAGCCCUCUUCCUCUCAGGCCUGACCAGUUGAACACCGCACCUCCUGGUGUAUAAAUAUUUGCCUCUGGCUGAAGUUCAAGCCCUCUGUGGCUGCCAGACACAAGAGAAAACCAACAUCCAAGGGAAAGUGUUCACUGUGGUGCUGGCCAAAGGAACGCCAGCCAGCAAAGGAUCACCACAUGUGAUUGGCCAGGCCCACCUAUGGCAGUGUCAGGAGGCGCCAGGCCACCGACCACUGGGGGUGUCCCCACCCUUUCAGUAAUGGCUGUGUUCCUUAACACGCACCCUUGCUUGUUAACCCAAGACCAGAAGACUUCCUGGUGGUUUCCCACGUGUUCCUCCAGAACGAACGGGCCCAAAUGAUCAUAAGCCACGCUCUUAACUCUUACCACUCCAGAAAAACAAGUGGAUGGAUGCUCCUUUGAGGGACCCAAGUAAGGUAGCAUCACCCUUAAAGCUAUGAGGAAUGCUCAGCAUCUCAGCCGACCUUGGUAACCUUCAAAGCUAAAAGCCGUUCUCUACUACAUCCCUCCCUGAUCUCUGAUGAUCUAGGGGAAGGGCAGAGGGAUAACCAUGGGCCCACAGAAGAUAGAGGAGCUUUGGUGAGGUGCUGUACACCAGCUCACACUGAAGGAAGAGAUGAAUGGUGCCUGGGAAGAUCUGAUUUACUGUCUGAGGACUAAGCCUCCUAUAGAUCUUCAUUAAGAAUGCUAACUUUCCAAGGUUGAUUUGCAAGAGUGGCUGUUGCAUGGGACAAAAGGCAAAAAAAAAAUUAAAGUUUGCAAAUGUCAAGGCCUUACGGGGCCAAUGUAGA